Molecule: ribosomal RNA, 348 nt
Filed under: uncultured bacterium
Lineage: Bacteria
Description: partial 16S ribosomal RNA
Rfam family: Bacterial small subunit ribosomal RNA
Source: RNAcentral
CCUACGGGAGGCUGCAGUGGGGAAUAUUGCACAAUGGGGGAAACCCUGAUGCAGCGACGCCGCGGGAGUGAAGAAGGAAGGCGGGAGGUAAAGCUCUAGCAGCAGGGAAGAAAAGGACGGUACCUGAGGAAGAAGCCCCGGCGAACUACGUGCCAGCAGCCGCGGUAAUACGGAGGGGGCAAGCGUUAUCCGGAUUUACUGGGUGUAAAGGGAGCGUAGACGGCAGGGCAAGUCUGGAGUGAAAGGCGGGGGCUCACCCCCCGGACUGCUCGGGAAACUGUACGGCGGGAGUGCAGGAGAGGUACGUGGUCUUCCUCGUGUAGCGGUGCACUGCGUAGAUCUUCGGAG